Molecule: ribosomal RNA, 253 nt
Filed under: uncultured bacterium
Lineage: Bacteria
Description: partial 16S ribosomal RNA
Rfam family: Bacterial small subunit ribosomal RNA
Source: RNAcentral
UACAGAGGGGGCAAGCGUUAUUCGGAAUUAUUGGGCGUAAAGGGCGCGUAGGCGGCUUUUCAAGUGACGGGUGAAAUCCCUCGGCUUAACCGAGGAACUGCCUGUCAGACUGGAAGGCUUGAGACCGGGAGAGGUGAGUGGAAUUCCCAGUGUAGCGGUGAAAUGCGUAGAUAUUGGGAGGAACACCAGUGGCGAAGGCGGCUCACUGGACAGUUCCUGACGCUGAGGCACGAAGGCCAGGGGAGCAAACGGG